Molecule: ribosomal RNA, 520 nt
Filed under: uncultured Glomus
Lineage: Eukaryota; Fungi; Glomeromycota; Glomeromycetes; Glomerales; Glomeraceae
Description: SSU rRNA
Rfam family: Eukaryotic small subunit ribosomal RNA
Source: RNAcentral
AGCAGCCGCGGUAAUUCCAGCUCCAAUAGCGUAUAUUAAAGUUGCUGCAGUUAAAAAGCUCGUAGUUGAAUUUCGGGACCAAUAUGUCGGUCGUGCCUCGGUACGUACUGGCAUCGUUGGUUUCUCCCUUCUGACGAACCAUGAUGUCAUUUAUUUGGUGUUAUGGGGAAUUAGGACUGUUACCUUGAAAAAAUUAGAGUGUUUAAAGCAGGCUAACGCUUGAAUACAUUAGCAUGGAAUAAUGAAAUAGGACGUUCGAUCCUAUUUUGUUGGUUUCUAGGAUUGACGUAAUGAUUAAUAGGGAUAGUUGGGGGCGAUUAGUAUUCAAUUGUCAGAGGUGAAAUUCUUGGAUUUAUUGAAGACUAACUACUGCGAAAGCAUUUGCCAAGGAUGUUUUCAUUAAUCAAGAACGAAAGUUAGGGGAUCGAAGACGAUCAGAUACCGUCGUAGUCUUAACCAUAAACUAUGCCGACUAGGGAUCGGAUGAUGUUAAUUUUUAAUUAGACUUCAAUUCGGCGCC